ACGAACGCUGGCGGCGUGCCUAACACAUGCAAGUCGAGCGAGGUAUUUAUACCUAGCGGCGGACGGGUGAGUAACACGUGGGUAACCUGCCUCAUAGAGGGGAAUAGCCUUCCGAAAGGGAGAUUAAUACCGCAUAAUAUAUACUGGUAGCAUUAACGGUAUAUCAAAGGAGAAAUCCGCUAUGAGAUGGGCCCGCGGCGCAUUAGCUAGUUGGAGAGGUAACGGCUCACCAAGGCGACGAUGCGUAGCCGACCUGAGAGGGUGAUCGGCCACAUUGGAACUGAGACACGGUCCAGACUCCUACGGGAGGCAGCAGUGGGGAAUAUUGCACAAUGGGGGAAACCCUGAUGCAGCAACGCCGCGUGAAUGAUGACGGCCUUCGGGUUGUAAAGUUCUUUGAUUGGGGACGAAAAUGACGGUACCCAAAAAACAAGCCACGGCUAACUACGUGCCAGCAGCCGCGGUAAUACGUAGGUGGCGAGCGUUGUCCGGAUUUACUGGGCGUAAAGGAUGCGUAGGUGGUAACUUAAGUGGGAUGUGAAAUCCCCGGGCUCAACCCGGGAACUGCAUUCCAAACUGAGUAACUAGAGUGCAGGAGAGGAAAGCGGAAUUCCUAGUGUAGCGGUGAAAUGCGUAGAUAUUAGGAGGAACACCAGUGGCGAAGGCGGCUUUCUGGACUGUAACUGACACUGAGGCAUGAAAGCGUGGGGAGCAAACAGGAUUAGAUACCCUGGUAGUCCACGCCGUAAACGAUGGGUACUAGGUGUAGGGGGUAUCAACUCCCCCUGUGCCGUCGUUAACACAAUAAGUACCCCGCCUGGGGAGUACGGUCGCAAGAUUA
Molecule: ribosomal RNA, 841 nt
Filed under: uncultured anaerobic bacterium
Lineage: Bacteria
Description: bacterial SSU rRNA
Rfam family: Bacterial small subunit ribosomal RNA
Source: RNAcentral